RNAcentral lists this ribosomal RNA (465 nucleotides) under uncultured Thiobacillus sp. RNAcentral describes it as "bacterial SSU rRNA". It matches the Rfam family "Bacterial small subunit ribosomal RNA", at positions 916 to 1381 of the family's 1533-position model. Lineage: Bacteria; Pseudomonadati; Pseudomonadota; Betaproteobacteria; Nitrosomonadales; Thiobacillaceae. The record is from RNAcentral.
GACGGGACCCGGCACAAGCGUGGAUGAUGUGGAUUAAUUCGAUGCAACGCGAAGAACCUUACCUACCCUUGACAUGUCCGGAACUUGCCAGAGAUGGCUUGGUGCCCGAAAGGGAAUCGGAACACAGGUGCUGCAUGGCUGUCGUCAGCUCGUGUCGUGAGAUGUUGGGUUAAGUCCCGCAACGAGCGCAACCCUUAUCAUUAGUUGCUACGCAAGGGCACUCUAAUGAGACUGCCGGUGACAAACCGGAGGAAGGUGGGGAUGACGUCAAGUCCUCAUGGCCCUUAUGGGUAGGGCUUCACACGUCAUACAAUGGUCGGUACAGAGGGUUGCCAAGCCGCGAGGCGGAGCCAAUCCCACAAAGCCGAUCGUAGUCCGGAUUGUUCUCUGCAACUCGAGAGCAUGAAGUCGGAAUCGCUAGUAAUCGCAGGUCAGCAUACUGCGGUGAAUACGUUCCCGGGUCUU